AACUAUCUUGAACUGUUUUCAUCUUACACUUGCUUCCCAUGGAAUUUUACCUACCAACUCCCUGAGUUUGCUAAAGUCUGCCUUCUUGAAAUCCAUUGUCUUUAUUGUGCC
Long non-coding RNA from Gopherus evgoodei (Goodes thornscrub tortoise), 111 nucleotides. RefSeq lists it as uncharacterized. The transcript has 4 exons. The record is from RefSeq and is a predicted model, not a curated record. NCBI's taxonomy places the organism in Eukaryota, Metazoa, Chordata, Testudines, Testudinidae.